This 27-nucleotide small RNA is filed under the name Bombyx mori (domestic silkworm). Its description in RNAcentral is "ovarian small RNA-13194". The record is from RNAcentral. Lineage: Eukaryota; Metazoa; Arthropoda; Insecta; Lepidoptera; Bombycidae.
CAGCAUAAGUUCGUUGGUGAGUUGGUC